UCAUAGCGACUUUUGGGAUAGUUUGCUAUCGACAAAGGGAGACAAAGUCAAGGGGUGAAGGGAAAGGAGGGCCAAGUAGAGCCUCCACGACCCUCGGCUUCCUCCUCACCAGCUCCCCCUCCCUCCAAGUCCAGUAAGAAGUUGGGCCAAGCUGGAAGGGAUUGACCGGGUUGCUUGUCUGGAGAUGGAGCCACUACAGGCGGGCCUGGGCGCCUGGAGUCGGGCAUGAAAGAAAAUAGCGCCUCAUCGCUCUUAUCUAAGCCCAGAGGUAGACUUCGCUUGAAAAGAUCGAGAAUGGAGGAGGGGAUCGGCACUCACUUGCAGACAUCAACAGUUUCCAGAAAAUUCGGUUCAAUUCCUUCACCACGGACCCACCAACCAAGGAGCUGGCAAAACCCACUAACCAACCAGGAGAACACAGACCCGCCGUUUCCUCUCCCUCGCCGGCCUCGGCGGAGAUUCCAGGCCCUAUAGAAACCAGGACGUCCCUUAGCGCCACCGCCUCACAUGCCAGUGCUGCCGGGAACCCAGCGAUAUCCGCACCAGCGGAGAAGGUUCCAGGCUGCCGGCGGCGGCGCAGAGAGCGGGAAGAGAGGCUCGGAGGAAGCCCCGGGCGUGGCGUGGUCAGGCUCCGAGAGCGGCCGGGAUGCGGCCACACCGGCCUGGUAAACUCGCACCUCUUAGGAUCUUGCUCCCGGACUCAUUCCCUUCCCCACCCCCUAUUUUAAAGUUUUAUUUGGGUCGUCUGUAUCAAUUUAGAACGAGAUAAAUUAAGACAAAGAAAGUAAAAUAAAUCGAAAUAAAAUAUAGGAAUAGCUCUUGGCGAAA
Molecule: long non-coding RNA, 828 nt
Filed under: Homo sapiens (human)
Lineage: Eukaryota; Metazoa; Chordata; Mammalia; Primates; Hominidae
Description: HSALNT0390421
Source: RNAcentral